RNAcentral lists this ribosomal RNA (253 nucleotides) under uncultured bacterium. RNAcentral's name for it is "partial 16S ribosomal RNA". It matches the Rfam family "Bacterial small subunit ribosomal RNA", at positions 524 to 776 of the family's 1533-position model. The record is from RNAcentral.
UACAGAGGUCCCAAGCGUUGUUCGGAUUCACUGGGCGUAAAGGGUGCGUAGGUGGUUGGGUAAGUCUGAUGUGAAAUCUCCGGGCUCAACCCGGAAAUGGCAUUGGAUACUAUCCAGCUCGAGGAUCGGAGGGGGGACUGGAAUUCUUGGUGUAGCAGUGAAAUGCGUAGAUAUCAAGAGGAACACCAGUGGCGAAGGCGAGUCCCUGGACGAUUCCUGACACUGAGGCACGAAAGCUAGGGGAGCAAACAGG